GAUGAACGCUGGCGGCGUGCCUAAUACAUGCAAGUCGAGCGAACGGACGAGAAGCUUGCUUUUCUGAUGUUAGCGGCGGACGGGUGAGUAACACGUGGAUAACCUACCUAUAAGACUGGGAUAACUUCGGGAAACCGGAGCUAAUACCGGAUAAUAUUUUGAACCGCAUGGUUCAAAAGUGAAAGACGGUCUUGCUGUCACUUAUAGAUGGAUCCGCGCUGCAUUAGCUAGUUGGUAAGGCAACGGCUUACCAAGGCAACGAUGCAUAGCCGACCUGAGAGGGUGAUCGGCCACACUGGAACUGAGACACGGUCCAGACUCCUACGGGAGGCAGCAGUAGGGAAUCUUCCGCAAUGGGCGAAAGCCUGACGGAGCAACGCCGCGUGAGUGAUGAAGGUCUUCGGAUCGUAAAACUCUGUUAUUAGGGAAGAACAUAUGUGUAAGUAACUGUGCACAUCUUGACGGUACCUAAUCAGAAAGCCACGGCUAACUACGUGCCAGCAGCCGCGGUAAUACGUAGGUGGCAAGCGUUAUCCGGAAUUAUUGGGCGUAAAGCGCGCGUAGGCGGUUUUUUAAGUCUGAUGUGAAAGCCCACGGCUCAACCGUGGAGGGUCAUUGGAAACUGGAAAACUUGAGUGCAGAAGAGGAAAGUGGAAUUCCAUGUGUAGCGGUGAAAUGCGCAGAGAUGUGGAGGAACACCAGUGGCGAAGGCGACUUUCUGGUCUGUAACUGACGCUGAUGUGCGAAAGCGUGGGGAUCAAACAGGAUUAGAUACCCUGGUAGUCCACGCCGUAAACGAUGAGUGCUAAGUGUUAGGGGGUUUCCGCCCCUUAGUGCUGCAGCUAACGCAUUAAGCACUCCGCCUGGGGAGUACGACCGCAAGGUUGAAACUCAAAGGAAUUGACGGGGGCCCGCACAAGCGGUGGAGCAUGUGGUUUAAUUCGAAGCAACGCGAAGAACCUUACCAAAUCUUGACAUCCUUUGACAACUCUAGAGAUAGAGCCUUCCCCUUCGGGGGACAAAGUGACAGGUGGUGCAUGGUUGUCGUCAGCUCGUGUCGUGAGAUGUUGGGUUAAGUCCCGCAACGAGCGCAACCCUUAAGCUUAGUUGCCAUCAUUAAGUUGGGCACUCUAAGUUGACUGCCGGUGACAAACCGGAGGAAGGUGGGGAUGACGUCAAAUCAUCAUGCCCCUUAUGAUUUGGGCUACACACGUGCUACAAUGGACAAUACAAAGGGCAGCGAAACCGCGAGGUCAAGCAAAUCCCAUAAAGUUGUUCUCAGUUCGGAUUGUAGUCUGCAACUCGACUACAUGAAGCUGGAAUCGCUAGUAAUCGUAGAUCAGCAUGCUACGGUGAAUACGUUCCCGGGUCU
This 1372-nucleotide ribosomal RNA is filed under the name uncultured bacterium. Its description in RNAcentral is "bacterial SSU rRNA". It matches the Rfam family "Bacterial small subunit ribosomal RNA", at positions 28 to 1381 of the family's 1533-position model. The record is from RNAcentral.